CCUACGGGUGGCAGCAGUGAGGAAUAUUGGUCAAUGGCCGCAAGGCUGAACCAGCCAAGUCGCGUGAAGGAUGACGGCCCUAUGAGUUGUAAACCUCUUUUGUCCGGGGGCAAAGGGAGCCACGUGUAGCUGUUUGCGAGUACCUUAAGAAAAAGCAUCGGCUAACUCCGUGCCAGCAGCCGCGGUAAUACGGAGGAUUCUUGCGUUAUCCGGAUUUAUUGGGUUUAAAGGGUGCGAAGGCGGAAUGUCAAGUCAGAGGUAAAAUUUCGGGGCUAAACCCGGACGUGCCGUUGAAACUGGUGUUCUUGAGUGAGCGAGAAGUAGGCGGAAUGUGUGGUGUAGCGGUGAAAUGCAUAGAUAUCACGCAGAACUCCGAUUGCGAAGGCAGCAUACCGGCGCUCAACUGACGCUGAUGCACGAAAGCGUGGGUAUCGAACAGGAUUAGAUACCCGUGUAGUC
Molecule: ribosomal RNA, 459 nt
Filed under: uncultured bacterium
Lineage: Bacteria
Description: partial 16S ribosomal RNA
Rfam family: Bacterial small subunit ribosomal RNA
Source: RNAcentral